RNAcentral lists this ribosomal RNA (433 nucleotides) under uncultured bacterium. RNAcentral describes it as "bacterial SSU rRNA". It matches the Rfam family "Bacterial small subunit ribosomal RNA", at positions 28 to 507 of the family's 1533-position model. The record is from RNAcentral.
GAUGAACGCUAGCGGGAGGCUUAACACAUGCAAGUCGAACGCCGUAGCAAUACGGAGUGGCAGACGGGUGAGUAACACGUGGGAACGUACCCUUUGGUUCGGAAUAACACAGAGAAAUUUGUGCUAAUACCGGAUAAGUGCGAGAGCAGAAAGAUUUAUCGCCGAAGGAUCGGCCCGCGUCCGAUUAGCUAGUUGGUGAGGUAAUGGCUCACCAAGGCGACGAUCGGUAGCUGGUCUGAGAGGAUGAUCAGCCACACUGGGACUGAGACACGGCCCAGACUCCUACGGGAGGCAGCAGUGGGGAAUAUUGGACAAUGGGCGCAAGCCUGAUCCAGCCAUGCCGCGUGAGUGAUGAAGGCCCUAGGGUUGUAAAGCUCUUUCGCCAGGGACGAUAAUGACGGUACCUGGAUAAGAAGCCCCGGCUAACUUCGUG